GAUUAAGUUAUUAAGGGCGCACGGUGGAUGCCUUGGCACUAGAAGCCGAUGAAGGACGUUACUAACGACGAUAUGCUUUGGGGAGCUGUAAGUAAGCUUUGAUCCAGAGAUUUCCGAAUGGGGAAACCCAGCAUGAGUUAUGUCAUGUUAUCGAUAUGUGAAUACAUAGCAUAUCAGAAGGCACACCCGGAGAACUGAAACAUCUUAGUACCCGGAGGAAGAGAAAGAAAAUUCGAUUCCCUUAGUAGCGGCGAGCGAAACGGGAAGAGCCCAAACCAACAAGCUUGCUUGUUGGGGUUGUAGGACACUCUAUACGGAGUUACAAAGGACGACAUUAGACGAAUCAUCUGGAAAGAUGAAUCAAAGAAGGUAAUAAUCCUGUAGUCGAAAAUGUUGUCUCUCUUGAGUGGAUCCUGAGUACGACGGAGCACGUGAAAUUCCGUCGGAAUCUGGGAGGACCAUCUCCUAAGGCUAAAUACUCUCUAGUGACCGA
This 493-nucleotide ribosomal RNA is filed under the name Staphylococcus aureus. Its description in RNAcentral is "partial 23S ribosomal RNA". It matches the Rfam family "Bacterial large subunit ribosomal RNA", at positions 1 to 487 of the family's 2925-position model. The record is from RNAcentral. Lineage: Bacteria; Bacillati; Bacillota; Bacilli; Caryophanales; Staphylococcaceae.